RNAcentral lists this transfer RNA (65 nucleotides) under Phraortes illepidus. RNAcentral describes it as "tRNA-Glu". RNAcentral also lists the same sequence under 3 other names. The record is from RNAcentral. Lineage: Eukaryota; Metazoa; Arthropoda; Insecta; Phasmatodea; Lonchodidae.
AUUUAUAUAGUUUAAUAUAAAACAUUACAUUUUCAUUGUAAAAAUAAAAGACAUUUUUAUAAAUA